RNAcentral lists this microRNA precursor (76 nucleotides) under Tribolium castaneum (red flour beetle). Its description in RNAcentral is "microRNA tca-mir-210 precursor". Its record names the gene tca-mir-210. It matches the Rfam family "mir-210 microRNA precursor family", at positions 7 to 80 of the family's 96-position model. The record is from miRBase by way of RNAcentral. Lineage: Eukaryota; Metazoa; Arthropoda; Insecta; Coleoptera; Tenebrionidae.
CUCACUGCAGCUGCUGGACGCUGCACAAGAUUAGAUAUUUUAGAACUCUUGUGCGUGUGACAGCGGCUAUUGUGGG